UACGGGGGGGGCAAGCGUUGUUCGGAAUUACUGGGCGUAAAGGGCUCGUAGGCGGCCAACUAAGUCAGACGUGAAAUCCCUCGGCUUAACCGGGGAACUGCGUCUGAUACUGGAUGGCUUGAGUUCGGGAGAGGGAUGCGGAAUUCCUGGUGUAGCGGUGAAAUGCGCAGAUAUCAGGAGGAACACCGGUGGCGAAGGCGGAUCUCUGGGCCUGUUCUGACGCUGAGGCGCGAAAGCUAGGGGAGCGAACAGG
RNAcentral lists this ribosomal RNA (253 nucleotides) under uncultured bacterium. Its description in RNAcentral is "partial 16S ribosomal RNA". It matches the Rfam family "Bacterial small subunit ribosomal RNA", at positions 524 to 776 of the family's 1533-position model. The record is from RNAcentral.